Molecule: ribosomal RNA, 845 nt
Filed under: uncultured bacterium
Lineage: Bacteria
Description: bacterial SSU rRNA
Rfam family: Bacterial small subunit ribosomal RNA
Source: RNAcentral
ACGCUGGCGGCGUGCUUAACACAUGCAAGUCGAACGAUGAAACCUAGCUUGCUAGGUGGAUUAGUGGCGCACGGGUGAGUAAUAUAUAGAUAACGUGCCUCUUAGUCUGGGAUAGCCAUUGGAAACGAUGAUUAAUACUAGAUACUCCUUCUUUCUAUAAUGAGAGUUGGGAAAGUUUUUCGCUAAGAGAUCGGUCUAUACCCCAUCAGCUUGUUGGUAGUGUAAGAGACUACCAAGGCAAUGACGGGUAGCGGGUUUGAGAGGAUGAUCCGCCACACUGGUACUGAGACACGGACCAGACUCCUACGGGAGGCAGCAGUGAGGAAUAUUGCACAAUGGAGGAAACUCUGAUGCAGCAACGCCGCGUGGAGGAUGACGCAUUUCGGUGUGUAAACUCCUUUUAUAUGUCAAGAAAAUGACGGUAGCAUAUGAAUAAGCACCGGCUAACUCCGUGCCAGCAGCCGCGGUAAUACGGAGGGUGCAAGCGUUAUUCGGAAUCACUGGGCGUAAAGGACGCGUAGGCGGGAUAGUAAGUCUGAUGUGAAAUCCUAUGGCUCAACCAUAGAACUGCAUUGGAAACUACUGACCUAGAGUAUGGGAGGGGGGAGAUGGAAUUUAGGKGGUGUUUAGAGGUGGUAAAAUCCCGUARWUAUCACACUAGGAWUACCGAAAGCGAAGGCGAUCUCCUGGAACAAUACUGACGCUAAGGCGUGAAAGCGUGGGGAGCAAACGGGAUUAGAUACCCCGGUAGUCCACGCCCUAAACGAUGUUCACUAGUCGUCGGGAUGCUAGUCAUCUCGGUGAUGCACUUAACAGAUUAAGUGAACCGCCUGGGGAGUACGGUC